Alosa sapidissima (American shad) is the source of this 113-nucleotide long non-coding RNA. RefSeq lists it as uncharacterized. The transcript is spliced from 3 exons. The record is from RefSeq and is a predicted model, not a curated record. NCBI's taxonomy places the organism in Eukaryota, Metazoa, Chordata, Actinopteri, Clupeiformes, Clupeidae.
GCGCCAUUUUUAUAAGCUCAGGUGUCGUCACAGACGCUGGCUACCGUGGGAAUCCUAUGGCGCUGAUCCUAAAAUGUUAUCAAUAUUUGUUAUUAAGCUGUGUGUUAAAAUUA